Molecule: ribosomal RNA, 259 nt
Filed under: uncultured bacterium
Lineage: Bacteria
Description: partial 16S ribosomal RNA
Rfam family: Bacterial small subunit ribosomal RNA
Source: RNAcentral
ACGCAGCAACGCCGCGCUGAGUGAUGAAGGCUUUCGGGUCGUAAAGCUCUGUCAAGUGGGAAGAACUCUUGCCUCCGGAUAAUGCAGGGGAGCUGACGGUACCACUGAAGGAAGCACCGGCUAACUCCGUGCCAGCAGCCGCGGUAAUACGGAGGGUGCAAGCGUUAUUCGGAAUUACUGGGCGUAAAGGGCGCGCAGGCGGCCUUGUAAGUCAGUUGUGAAAGCCCGGGGCUCAACCCCGGAAGUGCGACUGAAACUG